This 491-nucleotide ribosomal RNA is filed under the name uncultured bacterium. Its description in RNAcentral is "partial 16S ribosomal RNA". It matches the Rfam family "Bacterial small subunit ribosomal RNA", at positions 29 to 506 of the family's 1533-position model. The record is from RNAcentral.
AGUGAACGCUGGCGGUAGGCCUAACACAUGCAAGUCGAACGGCAGCACAGUAUGAGCUUGCUCUUACGGGUGGCGAGUGGCGGACGGGUGAGGAAUACAUCGGAAUCUACUUUUUCGUGGGGGAUAACGUAGGGAAACUUACGCUAAUACCGCAUACGACCUACGGGUGAAAGCAGGGGAUCUUCAUACCUUGCGCGAUUGAAUGAGCCGAUGUCGGAUUAGCUAGUUGGCGGGUUAAAGGCCCACCAAGGCGACGAUCCGUAGCUGGUCUGAGAGGAUGAUCAGCCACACUGGAACUGAGACACGGUACAGACUCCUACGGGAGGGAGCAGUGGGGAAUAUGGCAAAAUGGGAGAAAGCCUGAUCCAGCCACACCGCGUGGGUGAAGAAGGCCUUCGGGUUGUAAAGCCCUUUUGUUGGGAAAGAAAAGAAGCAGGUUAAUACCCCGCUGUUCUGACGGUACCAAAAGAAUAAGCACCGGCUAACUUCGU